Molecule: ribosomal RNA, 1282 nt
Filed under: 'Callistephus chinensis' aster yellows phytoplasma
Lineage: Bacteria; Bacillati; Mycoplasmatota; Mollicutes; Acholeplasmatales; Acholeplasmataceae
Description: bacterial SSU rRNA
Rfam family: Bacterial small subunit ribosomal RNA
Source: RNAcentral
CUGAGUAACGCGUAAGCAAUCUGCCCCUAAGACGAGGAUAACAGUUGGAAACGACUGCUAAGACUGGAUAGGAGACAAGAAGGCAUCUUCUUGUUUUUAAAAGACCUAGCAAUAGGUAUGCUUAGGGAGGAGCUUGCGUCACAUUAGUUAGUUGGUGGGGUAAAGGCCUACCAAGACUAUGAUGUGUAGCCGGGCUGAGAGGUUGAACGGCCACAUUGGGACUGAGACACGGCCCAAACUCCUACGGGAGGCAGCAGUAGGGAAUUUUCGGCAAUGGAGGAAACUCUGACCGAGCAACGCCGCGUGAACGAUGAAGUAUUUCGGUACGUAAAGUUCUUUUAUUAGGGAAGAAUAAAUGAUGGAAAAAUCAUUCUGACGGUACCUAAUGAAUAAGCCCCGGCUAACUAUGUGCCAGCAGCCGCGGUAAUACAUAGGGGGCAAGCGUUAUCCGGAAUUAUUGGGCGUAAAGGGUGCGUAGGCGGUUAAAUAAGUUUAUGGUCUAAGUGCAAUGCUCAACAUUGUGAUGCUAUAAAAACUGUUUAGCUAGAGUAAGAUAGAGGCAAGUGGAAUUCCAUGUGUAGUGGUAAAAUGCGUAAAUAUAUGGAGGAACACCAGUAGCGAAGGCGGCUUGCUGGGUCUUUACUGACGCUGAGGCACGAAAGCGUGGGGAGCAAACAGGAUUAGAUACCCUGGUAGUCCACGCCGUAAACGAUGAGUACUAAACGUUGGGUAAAACCAGUGUUGAAGUUAACACAUUAAGUACUCCGCCUGAGUAGUACGUACGCAAGUAUGAAACUUAAAGGAAUUGACGGGACUCCGCACAAGCGGAGGAUCAUGUUGUUUAAUCGAAGGUACCCGAAAAACCUCACCAGGUCUUGACAUGCUUCUGCAAAGCUGUAGAAACACAGUGGAGGUUAUCAGUUGCACAGGUGGUGCAUGGUUGUCGUCAGCUCGUGUCGUGAGAUGUUGGGUUAAGUCCCGCAACGAGCGCAACCCUUAUUGUUAGUUACCAGCACGUAAUGGUGGGGACUUUAGCAAGACUGCCAGUGAUAAAUUGGAGGAAGGUGGGGACGACGUCAAAUCAUCAUGCCCCUUAUGACCUGGGCUACAAACGUGAUACAAUGGCUGUUACAAAGGGUAGCUGAAGCGCAAGUUUUUGGCGAAUCUCAAAAAAACAGUCUCAGUUCGGAUUGAAGUCUGCAACUCGACUUCAUGAAGUUGGAAUCGCUAGUAAUCGCGAAUCAGCAUGUCGCGGUGAAUACGUUCUCGGGGUUUGUACACA